This 493-nucleotide ribosomal RNA is filed under the name uncultured bacterium. RNAcentral describes it as "partial 16S ribosomal RNA". It matches the Rfam family "Bacterial small subunit ribosomal RNA", at positions 28 to 507 of the family's 1533-position model. The record is from RNAcentral.
GACGAACGCUGGCGGCGUGCUUAACACAUGCAAGUCGAACGGAAAGGCCUGCUUUCCCUUGUGGAUUGCGGGUACUCGAGUGGCGAACGGGUGAGUAACACGUGAGUGAUCUGCCCCCAACUUGGGUAUAAGCCUGGGAAACUGGGUCUAAUUCCCGAUAGGACUGCAGGGUGGUGCCUGUGGUGGAAAACGAUUUUCUAGUGGUUGGGGAUGAGCUCGCGGCCUAUCAGCUUGUUGGUGGGGUAAUGGCCUACCAAGGCGGCGACGGGUAGCCGGCCUGAGAGGGUGGACGGCCACAUUGGGACUGGGAUCCGGCCCAGACUCCUCCGGGAGGCAGCAGUGGGGAAUAUUGCACAAUGGGCGGAAGCCGGAUGCAGCGACGCCGCGUGGGGAUGACGGCCUUCGGGUUGUAAACUCCUUUCGACCGCGAGGAAGCCACCUGGUUGGAAGGGUGGUGACGGUAGUGGUAGAAGAAGCACCGGCUAACUACGUG